Molecule: non-coding RNA, 716 nt
Organism: Camelina sativa (false flax)
Lineage: Eukaryota; Viridiplantae; Streptophyta; Magnoliopsida; Brassicales; Brassicaceae
Source: RefSeq, a predicted model, not a curated record
CAAAUGAAACGACACGUGUUAAUGAUGUUGAAAGCUUCAAUUGAUACGUACAAUACAAGUCUCCUAAAGGGAUAUUCUUGAUCUUGAGGAGACCAUUUCUCCUUUAGAGUUUCAACUUCUUUCUCUUUGUCUCCGAGAAGAAAAGAGGUUCAUCGUCUUCUGAUCUUCUCUUAUCCAUUAAUAAUCUUCUAAUUUGUCUUUCUAAUAACAACAGGCCAUUCACAAGAUUCCGGUGAAUAAUCCCUAUGUAAGGGAAACACAUAAGUCUUUUCUCAAAAGAAUCUCGUCGGUGAUUCAAUAAAGAUUCAUUGCAUUUUAGUAGUCUCGGAACGAUGUCAUUCCUGUGCAACAAUGGCAGAAAAAGAGACAAGGGAAGAAGAAAAGAGAAAGAAAGAACGAUAGAAGAGAAUUAUCAUCAAUGUUGCUGUUGUUGCGUGUGGCCUCAAUUUUCAAUGGUUAGAGGAAUAAAGAGAUGUUUAUUUCUCUCAUGCUAUCCAUUUAUUCGCUGUUUAGGGUUGGAAGAGAGAAGACAUCGUCAUCAUCUUCAUUACCAAAACCAUUUCCUAUGAUAAAUUUGUGUGUAUUCGUAUAUAAGCUUGAGAUUACUAUAAGCAUAUAUAUGAAAACAUUUCUUGGUUUCUAGAAAACAAAACAAAAACUUGUAAUAUAAUUCAAAAUAAGGAAUCAAGACAAUGAAAUGUUUGGUUAGCUAGGUG